UCCCUAGUGGCUCAGAUGGUAAAGCAUCUGCCUACAAUGCGGUAGACACAGGUUCAAACCCUGGGUUGGGAA
This 72-nucleotide transfer RNA is filed under the name Ovis aries (sheep). It matches the Rfam family "tRNA". Rfam says of the family: Transfer RNA (tRNA) molecules are approximately 80 nucleotides in length. Lineage: Eukaryota; Metazoa; Chordata; Mammalia; Artiodactyla; Bovidae. The record is from Rfam by way of RNAcentral.